GGAGGAGCCUGUUCAUACAGUACCAAACAUCCUUUCAUCCCAAUUACUAAUUUCAUUUCAAAAAAUUUCUUUAGGUAUGUUGGGAGAAAGAGCAGCAAAACAAAAAACUUGUAAAGAUGUUCAGAUAAUUUGGGGUCGAGAGGAAGAAGAAACCAGGACAGAUACUGAAUACAAGAUUACUCAUCCCUUGGAAGAUGGUGGCAGAAGGAACUGGCAAACUCUCAAUGGAUGGAGCCAAGAAAUGAAAAUCAAAACUGCUUCUGAACAAAGAGGUUUGAGGCUCCAGUCUUUAACCCAAUGGACUUAACUAGUUCUGAUACAGAUACAUUUAAAAAUCCUGGACAAAUAGAGGAUUGGACUGAAUACUUAUUGCAUAUCCAUUUUUCCUAACUGGUGCUUGCAGAUGUAUUAGAAAAUACGAUAGAUGC
This 428-nucleotide long non-coding RNA is filed under the name Naja naja (Indian cobra). RNAcentral describes it as "lncRNA (ENSNNAG00000001494.1)". Lineage: Eukaryota; Metazoa; Chordata; Lepidosauria; Squamata; Elapidae. The record is from RNAcentral.